Molecule: microRNA precursor, 94 nt
Filed under: Cebus imitator (Panamanian white-faced capuchin)
Lineage: Eukaryota; Metazoa; Chordata; Mammalia; Primates; Cebidae
Description: miRNA (ENSCCAG00000020058.1)
Source: RNAcentral
GCUGGGCAUGGUGGCGGACGCCUGUGAUCCCAACUACUCAGGAGGCUGAGGCAGGAGAAUUGCUUGAACCCAGGAGGCGAAGGUUGCAGUGAGC